RNAcentral lists this ribosomal RNA (413 nucleotides) under Boana punctata group sp. ABGD cluster 85. RNAcentral's name for it is "partial large subunit ribosomal RNA". It matches the Rfam family "Bacterial large subunit ribosomal RNA", at positions 1834 to 2457 of the family's 2925-position model. Lineage: Eukaryota; Metazoa; Chordata; Amphibia; Anura; Hylidae. The record is from RNAcentral.
CUUGACUAAUUAUAAGAGGUUUAGCCUGCCCAGUGACACAUGUUCAACGGCCGCGGUAUCCUAACCGUGCGAAGGUAGCGUAAUCACUUGUUCUUUAAAUGAGGACUAGUAUGAAAGGCACCACGAAGGUUAUACUGUCUCCUUUUUCUAAUCAGUAAAACUAAUCUCCCCGUGAAGAAGCGAGGAUAAAUUUAUAAGACGAGAAGACCCUAUGGAGCUUUAAACUAACCAGCAUUUGCUAUAUAAAAUUUUUAACUUUAAAGAUAAUCUAGCCCUCUGACUGGUAAUUUUCGAUUGGGGUGAUCACGGAACAAAAAUAACCUCCGUGUCGAAAGGGCUUACCUGAGCUAAAAGCGACAGCUUUCCGCACUAAAAAAUUAACGUUUAUUGACCCAAUAUUUUGAUCAACGAAC